RNAcentral lists this long non-coding RNA (789 nucleotides) under Mus musculus (house mouse). Its description in RNAcentral is "predicted gene, 57254". The record is from RNAcentral. Lineage: Eukaryota; Metazoa; Chordata; Mammalia; Rodentia; Muridae.
GGAGGUUGCACUGUCUCCAGGACUGUACCUCUCCUCUGCUUCCUACCCACUAUGCUGUGAGCAACUCCCUUCUCUAGGCAUGCAUGAUGCUCAGCCAGGCCACCGGCUCAGAAUCAACAGGACCAAAGAUGUAAGCUGAACCCUCAAAACCACCAACUAAAUAGAUCUUUCCUCCUGGAAGGUUUCUCUUAGGUAUUCUGGCAGCAGCCAUGCAAAGGGAGCUAACAAACCCCUGCCAUCCUGUUGUGUAAAUAAGAAUUCGGAGGCAUCUAGAUUAUAAAAGGCAUGUCAAAGGGUCAAGAAGUUUGCAAAAGGACUACGGUGACCCUGAGCCACCUCUUUGCGGGGCCCAGCGCUUCCUGCUGAGCCAACUGCUCUGCCUGGUGAGAGCCCACUAUGCCCCUCCAAACAUGGUCCAAGUUAGCUCCUGUCUCCCAGUUUUUCAGCAAGCCACCCACCACUCAACUUGAUGGACACAGCCAGAAAUAGAUGUACAAAUAGUUUGGAUUGUGAUCCUUUUCUCUGAGGCAACGGGCAUCUACUCAGAUCCGAUUAGCUUGAAUAUUCUUUCGCACGUCGGGUGAUGCCUAUUAUCCGAUGUGCGAUUAAGGAAGGCUGCUAAUCUAAACAGCGUGAGGGCAGGCGCCCCGUUUUCCCCAGUGGCUGCUCAUUAAGGCAGAGCUGCUCAUUUAAGGAUGACAAGCAAAUGCUCGGUCUCAGCUGUCUGGAACAAUCUAUCAAAAAGUGAAAUUUUCAUGACGUUGCCCAGGAAAGAACAAAGCCAAAAAA